RNAcentral lists this ribosomal RNA (163 nucleotides) under Olea europaea subsp. europaea. Its description in RNAcentral is "SSU_rRNA_eukarya". It matches the Rfam family "Bacterial small subunit ribosomal RNA", at positions 1037 to 1201 of the family's 1533-position model. Lineage: Eukaryota; Viridiplantae; Streptophyta; Magnoliopsida; Lamiales; Oleaceae. The record is from RNAcentral.
GGUGGUGCAUGGCUAUCGUCAGCUCGUGCCGUAAGGUGUUGGGUUAAGUCCCACAACGAGCGCAACCCUCGUGUUUAGUUGCCAUCGUUGAGUUUGGAACCUUGAACAGACUGUCGGUGAUAAGCCGGAGGAAGGUGAGGAUGACGUCAAGUCAUCAUGCCCC